ACGCUCGACACCUACGAGAGGCAGCAGUGGGGAAUAUUGCACAAUGGGGGAAACCCUGAUGCAGCGACGCCGCGUGAGCGAAGAAGUAUUUCGGUAUGUAAAGCUCUAUCAGCAGGGAAGAAACUGACGGUACCUGACUAAGAAGCACCGGCUAAAUACGUGCCAGUAGCCGCGGUAAUCUGAGCGGGCUGGCAAGGC
This 198-nucleotide ribosomal RNA is filed under the name uncultured bacterium. Its description in RNAcentral is "partial 16S ribosomal RNA". It matches the Rfam family "Bacterial small subunit ribosomal RNA", at positions 328 to 539 of the family's 1533-position model. The record is from RNAcentral.